Molecule: long non-coding RNA, 370 nt
Organism: Canis lupus familiaris (dog)
Lineage: Eukaryota; Metazoa; Chordata; Mammalia; Carnivora; Canidae
Exons: 3
Source: RefSeq, a predicted model, not a curated record
CUUGACCUUAUGGUAGGACCAGUGAUCCCCUGAGAGUACUGAAAUGCUUGCAGUAUAAUACAUCAUGAACUGAGCCAACAGCCACAGGGUCCCUGACAGCAUUACCACACAGUAAAGGAAGAGUAUUACCUAAAAUACAUGUAACUGGUAGCAGCUAGCUGAAGGGGAAAGAACUGGAAGCAGAAGACAUUGGGACUUAGAAACGGUGCAAACACUCCCACCUAGAGCUCUCUAGAUGUGACGCAUGGCUAUGGAUUCCAAGUUCACAUUUUAUGAAUUGAGAAGCCAUGGAGUAGGAAAGAGAAGAAACACGGAGUGCAAAAAGGCAAAAAUUCAACUGGCAGAAGACCAGAAGUGAGGGAGAAAAUAG